Molecule: ribosomal RNA, 502 nt
Filed under: uncultured bacterium
Lineage: Bacteria
Description: partial 16S ribosomal RNA
Rfam family: Bacterial small subunit ribosomal RNA
Source: RNAcentral
GUUGAACGCUGGCGGCAUGCCUUACACAUGCAAGUCGAACGGCAGCACGGGAGCUUGCUCCUGGUGUCGAGUGGCGAACGGGUGAGUAAUGCAUCGGAACGUACCCGGAAGUGGGGGAUAACGUAGCGAAAGUUACGCUAAUACCGCAUAUUCUGUGAGCAGGAAAGAGGGGGAUCGCAAGGCCUCUCGCUUUCGGAGCGGCCGAUGUCGGCUUGGCUGUGUGUUGGGGUAAAGGCCUACCAAGGCGACGAUCCGUAGCGGGUCUGACAGGCUGAUCCGCCACACUGGAACUGGGACAAGGUCCAGUCUCCUACGGGAGGCAGCAGUGGGGAAUUGUGGACAAUGGGCGAAAGCCUGAUCCAGCCAUGCCGCGUGAGUGAAGAAGGCCUUCGGGUUGUAAAGCUCUUUCUGCUGAAAAGAAAUCGCACAGGCUCAUACCCUGUGUGGACGACGGUAUCAGCAUAAGAAGCACCGGCUAACCACGCGCCAGCCGCCGCCGUAA